GACGAACGCUGGCGGCGUGCUUAACACAUGCAAGUCGAGCGGUAAGGCCCUUUCGGGGGUACGACGAGCGGCGAACGGGUGAGUAACACGUGGGUGACCUGCCCUCAGCUCUGGAUAAGCCUGGGAAACUGGGUCUAAUACUGGAUAUGACUCCACGGUGCAUGUCGUGGGGUGGAAAGCCUUGUGCGGCUGAGGAUGGGCCCGCGGCCUAUCAGCUUGUUGGUGGGGUGANGGCCUACCAAGGCGACGACGGGUAGCCGGCCUGAGAGGGCGACCGGCCACACUGGGACUGAGACACGGCCCAGACUCCUACGGGAGGCAGCAGUGGGGAAUCUUGCGCAAUGGGCGAAAGCCUGACGCAGCGACGCCGCGUGAGGGAUGACGGCC
RNAcentral lists this ribosomal RNA (387 nucleotides) under uncultured bacterium. RNAcentral describes it as "bacterial SSU rRNA". It matches the Rfam family "Bacterial small subunit ribosomal RNA", at positions 28 to 416 of the family's 1533-position model. The record is from RNAcentral.